GACAAAGGCCAGGAUUGAAGCUCAUGCGGUCUGGCUCCAGAACAACUCUUCUUCAUAGUUACGUUAUACUGCCCCUGCAUUGUUGGUAUUGAAAGAGGGCUCUGAGAGAUUUCAUUUCUGUCCUGCUGAUGAAGUCUACUUUCAUUCAGGGCCUGCUGUGGAAGACCAGCCCCCAAAGUUGCUGAACAGAAGACUUUUGAGAGUCAGCAGAAAUCUUCCACUUUGCAUGGUUCUCUUGAUGUGAAAUCAUCUAUAUAGCCCCAGAAUUGGAAAAGAAAAAAAAUAAAAAAAUAGAAGGAAA
RNAcentral lists this non-coding RNA (301 nucleotides) under Pan troglodytes (chimpanzee). The record is from RNAcentral. Lineage: Eukaryota; Metazoa; Chordata; Mammalia; Primates; Hominidae.